This is a long non-coding RNA of Anoplophora glabripennis (Asian longhorned beetle), 605 nucleotides long. RefSeq lists it as uncharacterized. The transcript is spliced from 3 exons. Lineage: Eukaryota; Metazoa; Arthropoda; Insecta; Coleoptera; Cerambycidae. The record is from RefSeq and is a predicted model, not a curated record.
UUCGCUUCUAUAUAUAGAGCGUCCGACGGAAAUUUCGUAUCUUUGGAAAGUAUUACUUUCAAAAAUCUUUUUUGUAUAAUAUUUAAAGGAGUUAAAUAACUUUUUGUUAAUCCGCCCCAACCCAGUAUUCCAUAAUUUAGAUGACUUUCGACAAGAGCAUGGUAAGAUGGUAUAUGACGUAGCUUCCGUAUUCAUCCUUAUACAGUCAAAAGGAGGUAAAUUGACCUUAGUGCAACUAAAAGCUCAUCCCAUGACUCCGAUUUAUAGAAUAUGGCAGUGUCAUCUGCAUAUCCAAUGAUCUCUCCUUUACUUGGAAUCGAAAACAAGUCAUUUAUAUAUAAGGAGAAAAGUAUGGGACCCAAAACAGUACCCUGUGGAACCCCAUAGUCUACCAGCAUUGGACUACUCAACGCACCAUUCACUCUUACGCACUGAUGUCUAUUUGAUAUGUAACUUUCAAAUAAUUUUAAACAAUUAUUUCUAAUUCCACAGUCCUCUAGCGACUGUAAGAGUAGAUGGUGGCUGACCGUGUCAAAUGCCUUCGAAAGAUCCAGGAAAACACACAAAGCAGGUUUACUUUCAUCCAAAGCAGAGUAAAAUUUCGA